GUGACAACGGUUACUUAUGGUGGAGCCUUUUUUUUUUAAUUUCAUUUUCAUUUCUCAUUCAUACUUUUCUUCAUACUAUAUUCUGUAAUUUCACCAGAAGCCACAACCACAACAACAACGAGAUCUCCGUGUUCCAAAGAGAUGAUUAUCAUGAUAUUAACUCAAAUUUAGCUAAGUAAAUGGGUUUGCUGUUUUUUUUUUUGUUUCUAAGAAGUACCUACUCUUCAACUUCAACACCAUCAUCACCUUUUUCAUAUUAGAUUCUUAGUUUCAGGUAAAAAAACAAGUUUGGUUGGAGUGUGUGUUGCCAUUGCUGGUCUUCUGAUACUCCUCUGUAUAUAGUUUGAUCCUCUGGCCUUUUUUACAUCUCCUAUGGUGGCUGGAAGGUAGACAUGCACGUUGGAGUGGUGGUGAACUGGUGAUUAUGACUCAAACAGUGAAAACAAUACUUUCAUCCUUUCGUGACCACGACAAGAAUUGCCGUCUUUCUCCUUUGUCUCCUAGUCGGCAUGGGAGCCGUCAGUGGCGCCAAAGCCGCACUGGUAGCUUGGCUGUUGCUAUAGCAGCACUUCUCAUGUUUACAACUGCCUGGCUUUCACUUGUCUUCUCUGAUGCAACUACCUGUUGCUUUCGUCGCAUAAAAGACUGGGAAGAUAGACCCCACUUUUUCCCCUGGAACAAGUGCACUUCUCCUCUUCGCCUUUCAGAAGUAACAACACCUCCUGCCCUCCAAUUUGGUACAAUGAAAGAUCAUCUAAGCAAUGGAAGCAGUAUCAUUGAACAAGAAGAAUUGUCAGUUAAACAUAUUGUUUUUGGCAUAGCAGGAUCAUCUCAAUUUUGGAGACGGAGGAAGGAAUAUAUCAGACUAUGGUGGCGUCCCAAUGACAUGCGUGGUUAUGUGUGGUUAGAGGAACAAGUGGUUGAAGAACAUGGAGAUGAUUUAUUGCCCCCUAUCAUGAUUUCUGAAGAUACCUCAUAUUUCCGCUAUACUAAUCCCAUAGGUCACCCUUCUGGCCUUCGGAUUUCUCGCAUUAUCAAAGAAAGCUUUCGCCUUGGUCUCUCAGACGUGCGUUGGUUUGUCCUAUGUGAUGAUGAUACCAUCUUCAAUGUGAAUAACCUAGUCGACGUUCUCAGCAAGUAUAAUUCCUCUGAAAUGAUUUACAUAGGUAGCCCCUCAGAGAGCCAUUCAGCUAAUACCUAUUUUAGUCACUCAAUGGCCUAUGGUGGUGGCGGGAUUGCAAUAAGUAAUUCGCUUGCAAAGGCUCUCUUUGAGAUUCUUGAUGAAUGCAUCGAGAGGUAUCCCCAACUUUAUGGUAGUGAUGAUAGAUUGCAUGCCUGCAUCACUGAACUUGGCGUUCCACUGACCCGGGAGUAUGGUUUUCACCAGUGGGAUAUAAAGGGUAAUGCUCACGGUCUUCUAUCCUCUCACCCAAUAGCACCAUUUGUUUCAAUUCAUCAUGUUGAAGCUGUUAAUCCCUUUUACCCUAGCUUGAGCUCUUUGGAUAGCCUGAAACUUUUCACGAAGGCCAUGAAAGCUGAAUCCAGAAGCUUUUUGCAGCGUUCAAUAUGUUACGACCAUGCCCGGCAUCUAACAUUUUCAGUGUCACUUGGUUACGUCAUUCAAGUCCUACCUAACAUUGUUUUUCCCCGCGAACUGGAGCGCUCUGAACGAACCUACUCUGCUUGGAAUGGUAUUAGUAGAAGGAAUGAAUUUGAUUUUGAUGCUAGGGACCCACACAAAUCCGUGUGUAAAAAGCCCAUUCUCUUCUUCUUGAAUGAUACUCGAAGAGAAGGUAAUGCUUCUUGGGGUUCAUAUGUUCGGAAUAAAGAUAAAGAUGAUUUCAAAAGGAGAUUUUUCUGCUUCCCUCGCUUUCCCCCUCUGCACAACGUGCGAAAGAUCCAGGUAGUGGCGCAGCCUUUGAGCAAAAAUUGGCAUCUGGUGCCGCGUCGUCUCUGUUGCAGGCAAAGCCAAACUGGCAAGGAAAUCCUCCAAAUCUCAGUUGGACAGUGUGGGAAUUGGGAAGGGACCUAUUAGUUAACUCUGUAUAGUGUUACUGAUUGUGUAGGUCGGUUGUGAAAUGGCAUGUUAGGAUUACUCUCGUGUUUUUCUCACAAUUUGGCAUUUUGAGUGAGGAGCUAGUUCGAUGCGGCAUUUUUUUCACCUUGAAUUGAGCUUUCUUGAACUUCUAAUUUCUGUGUGGUCUACCACUUUGUAUACACUUGCAGAUGGUAGAGAAAGGUUUCUAACACCAGAAGAUUUUUACAAGGGAUUGGAAUAGGAUGCGUAUCAACCUAGGUAUAUACUAUAUACUAUAGGGGGAUAACAAGGUUCUGAUAAUACCAUUCUAAUUCAGUGAGAGUAAAUGUGUGCACACUUGCAGCAUGCUUUCUUGAUCUUAUUUCCCUUUUUUGUCACAGAUCGAGCGUCCAUUCAUUUUGUGGAAUUAGUGUUUCCGGGUAGAGUCUCCUGCUCGACUCCCUCAUUCCACUUAAAUUCUUUGGCUGUUCAAGAGAUUAUUGCGGCAAAAAGAGUAAAUGAAUAACUCUUCAAGAUGACAAUAGGGAAAAUUCAAUGUUCAUAAUUGAUUGAUUGUAAUCUUUUGACCAUGGUAAGAAAAAAGGAUCAGAGAAAACUCAUUUAUGACAAAAGAUUGCGGAUUCAAUGAAAGUACAUAUUGUUUUUUGUGAACAA
Molecule: RNA transcript, 2692 nt
Organism: Cicer arietinum (chickpea)
Lineage: Eukaryota; Viridiplantae; Streptophyta; Magnoliopsida; Fabales; Fabaceae
Source: RefSeq, a predicted model, not a curated record